This 244-nucleotide unclassified non-coding RNA is filed under the name uncultured fungus. RNAcentral describes it as "sequence contains ITS1, 5.8S rRNA gene". The stretch from base 196 to 244 matches the Rfam family "5.8S ribosomal RNA", at positions 1 to 49 of the family's 154-position model. The record is from RNAcentral. Lineage: Eukaryota; Fungi.
UCUCCGUUGGUGAACCAGCGGAGGGAUCAUUACUGAGUUUACAACUCCCAAACCCUAUGUGAACAUACCUUUAGUUCCUUCGGCGGGAUCGCCCCGGCCAUUCGAGCGCCGGAACCAGGCCCCCGCCGCAAGACAACAAACCUCUGUUUUUAUAGAGUAUCUUCUGAGUUAGCUUCUAAAGCAAAAAUAAAUUAAAACUUUCAACAACGGAUCUCUUGGCUCUGGCAUCGAUGAAGAACGCAGC